AUGCACGCUGGCGGCGUGCCUAAUACCUGCCAGUCGAGCGAACAGAUAAGGAGCUUUCUCCUUUGACGUUAGCGGCGGACGGGUAAGUAACACAUGGGUAACCUACCUAUAAGACUGGAAUAACUCCGGGAAACCGGGGCUAAUGCAGGAUAACAUGUUGAACCGCAUGGUUCUACAGUGAAAGGCGGCUUUGCUGUCACUUAUAGAUGGACCCGCGCCGUAUUAGCUAGUUGGUGAGGUAACGGCUCACCAAGGCAACGAUACGUAGCCGACCUGAGAGGGUGAUCGGCCACACUGGAACUGAGACACGGUCCAGACUCCUACGGGAGGCAGCAGUAGGGAAUCUUCCGCAAUGGGCGAAAGCCUGACGGAGCAACGCCGCGUGAGUGAUGAAGGUCUUCGGAUCGUAAAACUCUGUUAUUAGGGAAGAACAAAUGCGUAAGUAACUGUGCGCGUCUUGACGGUACCUAAUCAGAAAGCCACGGCUAACUACGUG
This 496-nucleotide ribosomal RNA is filed under the name uncultured bacterium. RNAcentral's name for it is "partial 16S ribosomal RNA". It matches the Rfam family "Bacterial small subunit ribosomal RNA", at positions 29 to 507 of the family's 1533-position model. The record is from RNAcentral.